This is a non-coding RNA of Paramuricea clavata, 430 nucleotides long. The record is from the annotation of a GenBank genome assembly. Lineage: Eukaryota; Metazoa; Cnidaria; Anthozoa; Malacalcyonacea; Plexauridae.
CAAACAACAAACAACAAACAACAAACAACAAACAACAAACAACAAACAACAAACAACAAACAACAAACAACAAACAACAAACAACAAACAACAAACAACAAACAACAAACAACAAACAACAAACAACAAACAACAAACAACAAUAACGACGACGACAACGACAACGACAAAAAAAAGCGAAAGCAGGAACGGAAACAAUUGCCGCAGAACCGUAUUUUCACCAUUAAUAAUUCAAGAAACCAAGUUGGUAGAAUAGUGUGUAUUUUGAGACAUUAAAAUAAAUUAAAUAAUCCAAUAACCUUUUAAACUGCUUUAAAUAUCUCUCACGAAUUGUAAGUACUAGUUAAAACAUGAGCAGCCGAUUUUUAUCUGAUAUACAAACUCGAGCCGAAGAAUAGACAUUGUCUUAGCCGAGAAAAUCAAAGCUGAA